UUCAGACCCAACUACCAGAGGUGACAUCAUUGUGAUCAGCAAAUAGAGACAUGUUCUUCUGAGAAAGAGAGCAAGCAAGGUUAUUCUUAGAGGAGUCAUCAUCUAGUGGGUCGUGCACCAUAGGAAACAGAGACCACAAGCAGCCAGGCACCUUAUCUACUCCUCUGACCUGUACUGUGCUAGAUCCUGGUACCAGCUGAGGACUGUCCCCAUGAAUUACAUUUGGUUACAAAAUCCUGUAUUGUUUCUGACAUUUGAAGACUGAAUCUGCUUUCAUUGCUGCAGCAGUCGUACUUCCUCUAAUGAAACCAAGCUAAGCGUGGUAAGCAUACUGUCUUUGUACAGCUCAGAAGCUGAAGAACUUUGCAGCAUUUGGUAAAUGGAACUAUUGUGUUGUCUUGUCUGCUUACGGCUUGUGUUUCGGUUCCUGAGAAUUUGAGCAAAAGCUGGAGACUUGCACUUAUUCUCCACAUCCUCUGUAAACUAUUUUUGAAUAUGGCUCCUGGAAUCUGAAAGUUAUAUUUAUUCACUGAGUAAUAAUGUUAGUAGUGCCAACAGCAAUAGGAAGUCCACAGUAAGAGU
Long non-coding RNA from Grus americana (Whooping crane), 582 nucleotides. RefSeq lists it as uncharacterized. The record is from RefSeq and is a predicted model, not a curated record. Lineage: Eukaryota; Metazoa; Chordata; Aves; Gruiformes; Gruidae. The transcript is spliced from 3 exons.